AUGAACGUUGGCGGCGUGACUAAGGCAUGCAAGUCGAAUGGUUCGCAAGAACCAUGGCAAACGGGUGCGUAACACAUUGGUAAUUUACCCUUAACUCGGGCAUAACUCGCCGAAAGGCAAGAUAAUUCCCGAUGGCCAUGGGGGGUCUUUAAGACAUUCCCAUGUAAAGAUUUAUCGGUUAAGGAAAAGCCUAUGGCCCAUCAGCUAGUUGGUAGGGUAAUGGCCUACCAAGGCAACGACGGGUAGCGGGUGUGAGAGCACGACCCGCCUCACUGGGACUGAGACACUGCCCAGACUCCUACGGGAGGCUGCAGUCAUGAAUAUUCCGCAAUGGCCGCAAGGCUGACGGAGCGACGCCGCGUGCAGGAAGACGCCCUUCGGGGUGUAAACUGCUUUUUUCUGGGAAGAAAUUUUGACGGUACCAGAAGAAUAAGCCACUGCUAACCUCGU
This 450-nucleotide ribosomal RNA is filed under the name uncultured bacterium. Its description in RNAcentral is "bacterial SSU rRNA". It matches the Rfam family "Bacterial small subunit ribosomal RNA", at positions 29 to 506 of the family's 1533-position model. The record is from RNAcentral.